RNAcentral lists this ribosomal RNA (253 nucleotides) under uncultured bacterium. Its description in RNAcentral is "partial 16S ribosomal RNA". It matches the Rfam family "Bacterial small subunit ribosomal RNA", at positions 524 to 776 of the family's 1533-position model. The record is from RNAcentral.
UACGGAGGGUGCAAGCGUUAAUCGGAAUUACUGGGCGUAAAGCGUGCGCAGGCGGUUUGUUAAGUCCGCUGUGAAAUCCCCGAGCUCAACUUGGGAAUUGCAGUGGAUACUGGCAAGCUGGAGUAUGGUAGAGGAAGGUGGAAUGCUUGGUGUAGAGGUGAAAUUCGUAGAUAUCAAGCGGAACACCGGUGGCGAAGGCGGCCUUCUGGACAGUGACUGACGCUGAGACGCGAAAGCGUGGGGAGCAAACAGG